GAUGAACGCUGGCGGCGUGCCUAAUACAUGCAAGUCGAGCGAACAGACGAGGAGCUUGCUCCUCUGACGUUAGCGGCGGACGGGUGAGUAACACGUGGAUAACCUACCUAUAAGACUGGGAUAACUUCGGGAAACCGGAGCUAAUACCGGAUAAUAUAUUGAACCGCAUGGUUCAAUAGUGAAAGACGGUUUUGCUGUCACUUAUAGAUGGAUCCGCGCCGCAUUAGCUAGUUGGUAAGGUAACGGCUUACCAAGGCAACGAUGCGUAGCCGACCUGAGAGGGGGAUAGGCCACACUGGAACUGAGACACGGUCCAGACUCAUACGGGAGGCAGCAGUAGGGAAUGUUCCGCAAUGGGCGAAAGCCUGACGGAGAAACGCCGCGUGAGUGAUGAAGGUCUUCGGAUCGUAAAACUCUGUUAUUAGGGAAGAACAAAUGUGUAAGUAACUAUGCACGGCGUGACGGUACCUAAUCAGAAAGACACGGCUAACUACGUG
This 497-nucleotide ribosomal RNA is filed under the name uncultured bacterium. RNAcentral's name for it is "partial 16S ribosomal RNA". It matches the Rfam family "Bacterial small subunit ribosomal RNA", at positions 28 to 507 of the family's 1533-position model. The record is from RNAcentral.